AAGGUGAAACCCGAAAAACCUUUAAAGAGUAGGGA
This 35-nucleotide non-coding RNA is filed under the name unclassified sequences. RNAcentral describes it as "DUF805b RNA". It matches the Rfam family "DUF805b RNA". From Rfam's summary of the family: Bacteroidetes, Chlorobi (1 example), Proteobacteria. The record is from RNAcentral.